RNAcentral lists this ribosomal RNA (547 nucleotides) under uncultured Acaulospora. Its description in RNAcentral is "SSU rRNA". It matches the Rfam family "Eukaryotic small subunit ribosomal RNA", at positions 548 to 1098 of the family's 1831-position model. The record is from RNAcentral. Lineage: Eukaryota; Fungi; Glomeromycota; Glomeromycetes; Diversisporales; Acaulosporaceae.
UUGGAGGGCAAGUCUGGUGCCAGCAGCCGCGGUAAUUCCAGCUCCAAUAGCGUAUAUUAAAGUUGUUGCAGUUAAAAAGCUCGUAGUUGAAUUUCGGAGUUUGUCGGUUGGUCGGGCUUCACUGUCCGCACUGACUUGAUGGAUUUCUACCUUCUGAAUAACCAGCAUGCUAUUAAGCUAGCGCGUUGGGGAAGCAGAUCUAUUACCUUGAAAAAAUUAGAGUGCUCAAAGCAAGCUAGUGCUUGAAUAGAUUAGCAUGGAAUAAUAAAAUAGGACGGCAUGGUUCUAUUUUGUUGGUUUCUAGGAUCACCGUAAUGAUCAAUAGGGAUAGUUGGGGCAUUAGGAUUCAAUUGUCAGAGGUGAAAUUCCUGGAUUUAUUGAAGACUAACUUCUGCGAAAGCAUUUGCCAAGGAUGUUUUCAUUAAUCAAGAACGAAAGUUAGGGGAUCGAAGACGAUCAGAUACCGUCGUAGUCUUAACCAUAAACUAUGCCGACUAGGAAUCGGGCGAUGUUGAUUUAAGGACACGUUCGGCGCCUUACGGGAAAC